This 67-nucleotide transfer RNA is filed under the name Schistosoma mansoni. The record is from RNAcentral. Lineage: Eukaryota; Metazoa; Platyhelminthes; Trematoda; Strigeidida; Schistosomatidae.
UCAAAAGCGAAGUGGAUAACGUGAUGGCGUUUGAGGCAAAAGGUACUGGGUUCGAGUCCCAGAGUGA